UGGGGAAUUUUGCACAAUGGGGGAAACCCUGAUGCAGCGACGCCGCGUGAUUUAGAAGGCCUUCGGGUUGUAAAAAUCUUUUCUAUGGGAAGAAAAUGACAGUACCGUAGGAAUAAGGACCGGCUAAUUACGUGCCAGCAGCCGCGGUAAUACGUAAGGUCCGAGCGUUGUCCGGAAUCAUUGGGCGUAAAGGGUACGUAGGCGGGUAAGCAAGUUAGAAGUGAAAUCCUAUAGCUCAACUAUAGUAAGCUUUUAAAACUGCUCAUCUUGAGGUAUGGAAGGGAAAGUGGAAUUCCUAGUGUAGCGGUGAAAUGCGCAGAUAUUAGGAGGAAUACCGGUGGCGAAGGCGACUUUCUGGCCAUAACCUGACGCUGAGGUACGAAAGCGUGGGUAGCAAACAGG
RNAcentral lists this ribosomal RNA (402 nucleotides) under bacterium. Its description in RNAcentral is "partial 16S ribosomal RNA". It matches the Rfam family "Bacterial small subunit ribosomal RNA", at positions 355 to 776 of the family's 1533-position model. The record is from RNAcentral.